This 667-nucleotide transfer RNA is filed under the name uncultured beta proteobacterium. RNAcentral's name for it is "16S-23S ribosomal RNA intergenic spacer". The stretch from base 275 to 347 matches the Rfam family "tRNA". Lineage: Bacteria; Pseudomonadati; Pseudomonadota; Betaproteobacteria. The record is from RNAcentral.
CUAGAGAACGCUGCUGCAACACUCACACCUAAUCGGUUGUUUCAAGACCGGGCUUGUGGCUCAGUUGGUUAGAGCACACGCUUGAUAAAGCGAUGGGGUCGGAAGUUCAAGUCUUCCCAGGCCCACCAGACUUUGGUUUGGUCGGCGCUGAGCUGUGCUAGUUGGGUUCAUUAAGGGUUGAGAACCAAGCGGCGCAAGGCGCGAGACGCCGCCGUGUGCUAAUGCACACAAGGUGUCGAGCAACGCAGCGAUGCGCCGGUUAUCAACCCUUAAUGGGGGAUUAGCUCAGCUGGGAGAGCACCUGCUUUGCAAGCAGGGGGUCGUCGGUUCGAUCCCGUCAUCCUCCACCAGACACCCGUGGUCAGGAUCGCGGGGUCGUAACAACAAGUAGUACCUAUCAGUGUGAAACGUAAGCAGUGAGGUUGUUGACCUUAGUGCUUACGCGUUAUGCGUAACGGCCGUUCUUUAACAAUUUGGAAGAAGGUGGGCUUUUUAGAGAUGAAAAGCCCGAACAUGGGUUGAAAUUGUAUCGACCCUGUCAUCUGGAAUAUUGGAUCCUGCGAGGGGUUUGAUGCCGAGCUGGGUGAUGGGGUAGCAAACACACCUGUAAUGCGAAGACUGAGCGCGAGAGCCAAUUUGGUUUGAGUGGCAGUCCUCAAAAUUAUAG